AGAGUUUGAUCCUGGCUCAGGAUGAACGCUAGCGGCAGGCUUAAUACAUGCAAGUCGAGGGGCAGCAGGGGUGGCAAUACCCGCUGGCGACCGGCAAACGGGUGCGGAACACGUACGCAACCUUCCUUUAACUGGAGAAUAGCCCCUCGAAAGAGGGAUUAAUACUCCGUAACAUAUUGAUAAGGCAUCUUAUUAAUAUUAUAGUCUUCGGGCGGUUAAAGAUGGGCGUGCGCCUGAUUAGAUAGUUGGUGAGGUAACGGCUCACCAAGUCUGCGAUCAGUAACUGGUGUGAGAGCACGACCAGUCACACGGGCACUGAGACACGGGCCCGACUCCUACGGGAGGCAGCAGUAAGGAAUAUUGGUCAAUGGACGCAAGUCUGAACCAGCCAUGCCGCGUGGAGGAUUAAGGCCCUCUGGGUUGUAAACUCCUUUUAUCUGGGAAGAAAUGCCAUUUUUCUAAAUGGUUUGACGGUACCAGAGGAAUAAGCACCGGCUAACUCCGUGCCAGCAGCCGCGGUAAUACGGAGGGUGCAAGCGUUAUCCGGAUUCACUGGGUUUAAAAGGGUGCGUAGCGGGCAGGUAAGUCCGUGGGAAAUCUCUGAGCUUAACUCAGAAACUUGCCAUGGAUACUUAAUUUUGUCUUUUGAAAUUACUGGUGGGAAGGGUAAAGCCGGGAAUAUUGGUCCAAUUGUAAACGGGGUGGAAAAAUGGGCUUUAGAUUAUUGACCAUGGAAANCAACACAANUUGGCGGAAAGGCAAGUUAACUUACACAGGUUAAUUUGGAACGGCUUGGAAGGCA
Molecule: ribosomal RNA, 802 nt
Filed under: uncultured Bacteroidota bacterium
Lineage: Bacteria; Pseudomonadati; Bacteroidota
Description: bacterial SSU rRNA
Rfam family: Bacterial small subunit ribosomal RNA
Source: RNAcentral